RNAcentral lists this ribosomal RNA (484 nucleotides) under uncultured bacterium. Its description in RNAcentral is "partial 16S ribosomal RNA". It matches the Rfam family "Bacterial small subunit ribosomal RNA", at positions 28 to 507 of the family's 1533-position model. The record is from RNAcentral.
AUUGAACGCUGGCGGCAUGCUUUACACAUGCAAGUCGAACGGCAGCGCGGGCUUCGGCCUGGCGGCGAGUGGCGCACGGGUGAGUAAUACAUCGGAACGUGCCCCGCAGUGGGGGAUAGCUCGGCGAAAGCCGGAUUAAUACCGCAUACGACCUGCGGGUGAAAGCGGGGGAUCUUCGGACCUCGCGCUAUUGGAGCGGCCGAUGGCCGGUUGGCUAGUUGGUGGGGUAAAGGCCUACCAAGGCGACGAUCUGUAGCUGGUCUGAGUGGACGGCCAGCCACACUGGGACUGAGACACGGCCCAGACUCCUACGGGAGGCAGCAGUGGGGAAUGUUGGACAAUGGGCGAAAGCCUGAUCCAGCAAUGCCGCGUGUGUGAUGAAGGCCUUCGGGUUGUAAAGCACUUUUGGCGGGAACGAAAAGGACUGUGCCAAUACCACGGUUCGAUGACGGUACCCGCAGAAUAAGCACCGGCUAACUACGUG